This 67-nucleotide transfer RNA is filed under the name Platygaster sp. ZJUH_2016029. RNAcentral's name for it is "tRNA-Gln". Lineage: Eukaryota; Metazoa; Arthropoda; Insecta; Hymenoptera; Platygastridae. The record is from RNAcentral.
UAUAUUUUAGUAUUAUGUAUAAAAAUUUUUGAUAUUUUAGGGAAUAAAUUUAAUUUAUUAAAUAUAA